RNAcentral lists this ribosomal RNA (461 nucleotides) under uncultured Geobacillus sp. RNAcentral's name for it is "bacterial SSU rRNA". It matches the Rfam family "Bacterial small subunit ribosomal RNA", at positions 459 to 917 of the family's 1533-position model. The record is from RNAcentral. Lineage: Bacteria; Bacillati; Bacillota; Bacilli; Caryophanales; Anoxybacillaceae.
GGGCGGCACCGUGACGGUACCUAACGAGAAAGCCACGGCUAACUACGUGCCAGCAGCCGCGGUAAUACGUAGGUCGCAAGCGUUGUCCGGAAUUAUUGGGCGUAAAGCGCGCGCAGGCGGUCCUUUAAGUCUGAUGUGAAAGCCCACGGCUCAACCGUGGAGGGUCAUUGGAAACUGGGGGACUUGAGUGCAGAAGAGGGGAGCGGAAUUCCACGUGUAGCGGUGAAAUGCGUAGAGAUGUGGAGGAACACCAGUGGCGAAGGCGGCUCUCUGGUCUGUAACUGACGCUGAGGCGCGAAAGCGUGGGGAGCAAACAGGAUUAGAUACCCUGGUAGUCCACGCCGUUAAACGAUGAGUGCUAAGUGUUAGAGGGGUUAAUCCCUUUAGUGCUGUAGCUAACGCAUUAAGCACUCCGCCUGGGGAGUACGCUCGCAAGAGUGAAACUCAAAUGAAUUGACGGA